AUUGAACGCUGGCGGCAGGCCUAACACAUGCAAGUCGAGCGGAUGAAGGGAGCUUGCUCCUGGAUUCAGCGGCGGACGGGUGAGUAAUGCCUAGGAAUCUGCCUGGUAGUGGGGGAUAACGUCCGGAAACGGGCGCUAAUACCGCAUACGUCCUGAGGGAGAAAGUGGGGGAUCUUCGGACCUCACGCUAUCAGAUGAGCCUAGGUCGGAUUAGCUAGUUGGUGGGGUAAAGGCCUACCAAGGCGACGAUCCGUAACUGGUCUGAGAGGAUGAUCAGUCACACUGGAACUGAGACAGGGUCCAGACUCCUACGGGAGGCAGCAGUGGGGAAUAUUGGACAAUGGGCGAAAGCCUGAUCCAGCCAUGCCGCGUGUGUGAAGAAGGUCUUCGGAUUGUAAAGCACUUUAAGUGGGGAGGAAGGGCAGUAAGUUAAUACCUUGCUGUUUUGACGUUACCAACAGAAUAAGCACCGGCUAACUUCGUG
RNAcentral lists this ribosomal RNA (484 nucleotides) under uncultured bacterium. Its description in RNAcentral is "partial 16S ribosomal RNA". It matches the Rfam family "Bacterial small subunit ribosomal RNA", at positions 30 to 507 of the family's 1533-position model. The record is from RNAcentral.